RNAcentral lists this long non-coding RNA (224 nucleotides) under Olea europaea (common olive). RNAcentral's name for it is "long non-coding RNA (OEUR_LNC013117)". The record is from RNAcentral. Lineage: Eukaryota; Viridiplantae; Streptophyta; Magnoliopsida; Lamiales; Oleaceae.
GUUAAGAUUUAGUUUAAUAUUUGAAGAUUCUAAAUUAUUUCCAUAUAUUCUAUUUCUGUCGUAAUUCCAUGGAAUUAGGAAUAAGUUGAUUUGUUUCCUUUUGUACUCUUGAGACUUAGGAAGCUUUGCAAGUAUAUAAACUGAUGUAAAUUUCCUGUGUACUGCUAUAUACAAGAAAUACAGAGAAUUUAUUCUGCCUUUUUCAAUACAGAAAAUAUAUUCAC